AAGUCAAAAUUAAUAUUGUUCUAACAUUAGCUUUGUAAGAUAAAGAUACCAUAAUGAUGUGUCACUUUAAGUAGAUUCCAGUUAAAUCUGUCAUUCUCAUGUAAUGACUAGAAAACCAAAAACAUAACCAUCCAGUCCACAAUUUGGAUUAAGGUGCAUGUGUUGCCAAAUAAUAAUCAUUUCAAAGCAAAAUUGGAGCUGGUACCAUGUUAAUCAUGAUUCACGACUAGGAGCCUCAUUUGAACACAAUCUGAUGUAUAACAAGAAGUACAAGAAGGAUUGAGAGAAAUAAAUUCUCAGGAUUCAAAGGAAGAGAAACAAAUCUUCUAAAGAAACUAAUUGUCAAAGCCUUAUUUAAUUGUCAAUACUAAUCAAAAUAAAAGUCAACUAAUAAAAGUCAACUAAUAAAAUACCUAUAAAUAAGUAUCUAUAGACUAGCAAUCCUACUACCCUAAAAAAAUA
Molecule: unclassified non-coding RNA, 462 nt
Filed under: Hevea brasiliensis (rubber tree)
Lineage: Eukaryota; Viridiplantae; Streptophyta; Magnoliopsida; Malpighiales; Euphorbiaceae
Source: RNAcentral